UACAGGGGGUGCAAACGUUGCUCGGAAUCAUUGGGCGUAAAGCGCACGUAGGCGGUUCGUUAUGUCGGAUGUGAAAGCCCUUGGCUUAACCGAGGAAGUGCACCCGAAACUGGCGAGCUAGAGUACUAAAGAGGGUCGCGGAAUUCCCGGUGUAGAGGUGAAAUUCGUAGAUAUCGGGAGGAACACCGGUGGCGAAGGCGGCGACCUGGGUAGAUACUGACGCUGAGGCGCGAAAGCGUGGGGAGCAAACAGG
RNAcentral lists this ribosomal RNA (253 nucleotides) under uncultured bacterium. RNAcentral's name for it is "partial 16S ribosomal RNA". It matches the Rfam family "Bacterial small subunit ribosomal RNA", at positions 524 to 776 of the family's 1533-position model. The record is from RNAcentral.